Molecule: ribosomal RNA, 22 nt
Filed under: Heterodermia obscurata
Lineage: Eukaryota; Fungi; Ascomycota; Lecanoromycetes; Caliciales; Physciaceae
Description: partial 28S ribosomal RNA
Source: RNAcentral
UUGACCUCGGAUCAGGUAUGGG